Molecule: long non-coding RNA, 1143 nt
Organism: Salvia miltiorrhiza (redroot sage)
Lineage: Eukaryota; Viridiplantae; Streptophyta; Magnoliopsida; Lamiales; Lamiaceae
Exons: 2
Source: RefSeq, a predicted model, not a curated record
GCUUGCGGAUUUUUUUUUUCAUAAGAAAAUUUCACGAAAAUGCAGUUAUUAAUUUAUAGUAAUAUAAGGAGAGUUUUGCUUACAAAUUAAAUUUAGUUUGCCUAUUAUAUUUUAAUUAUACUAUAUUUAAUUUAAGGAAAAUAAUGUAAUAUGAUAAAUUAUUAUUUUGAUAUCAAUUACUAGUAUUUCCUUUAUUUCUAAAUUUAAAAUAAUUAUAUAAUACUCCCUCCAUUUUGGUUUAAUAGGCCAUAUUUUUCUUAUUUGAAUAUCCCAAUUUAAUUGUCACUUCUCAAAAUGAAAGUAAAUACAUAACAAACAAUCUCACUCAACUUUUUAUUUAUAUCAAUGAUAUUUGUGGCCCACGAAUAUCAUGUCUCUUUUCACUUAAAAAAUAAGAUAGUAUUCAUUUUAUCUCCUAUUUUUUUAUUUUAUUUUUUUAAAAAAUUAUCUUAUUUAUUAUAAACUAUUUAUUUCUUAGCAUCUGUGCCUAGCUAGAUCCAAUGGCCUAUUAAUUAAAUUGAGAGGGAUGGAGUAUAUAUUACAUUUAAUAUUAUAAAUUUAUGGGAAACUAAACGAACAAUUCAUAUACUCCGAUCCCUCUUGGUUAGUAGAGAAAAAUGGUGUCGACAAAGUUAAGGUUUUGUAUAUUAUAAAUAGGAGGCAUCUUAUAUGUGUAUUUUCACGUACGUUUCUAUCUCAAAUCCUCUGGUGUUCCAUUUGAUGGAGUUGAAUUUACACGCACAGAAGGUUGAAGGAGAAGGUGGCGGUUACUACGCCCAAAACUCCGGCAGUCGGCGCCGGUAGACUUGUUCUGCACCCACAUGGCUUCGCUUGCAAGAUUGGUUACGUCGUCCAAGGUAGUUGCAGAGAAUUAAGGCAGAAGAGAAGGUGAUGAUUCCAAUUCAUGCGACUUCUUCUUCUCCGCCAACUUUAUCAGCAACGCAAUUAUCAUUAAGGUCCGAAAUUGGUGCGAUUCAGAUGGUAGGGUUGAAGGGUACGAUGAGAUUGAGGGAUUGGGAUUCGAAUUCAAUAUGUAUUUGGUUUUUUUAUGUUUGUUGCAGGGAACACAUCGCCAUAUAAAGCAUUGUCUUCAUCACUUUUGGAGGCUGCGUUUAAUUAAUGUGUCUCUUGAGUUCCUCAACA